AGCUCCACUAGCGUAUAUUAAAAUUGUUGCGGUUAAAACGUUCGAAGUUUGAUUUUGUCCAGCACGGGUGUUACUCCAUCAGUAUUGUGGUAGUAAAUCACUCUUGAUGCUAGGACUAUGAGUUUGUGGCACCUAUGCGAUGUCAAAGUCGCGUAGGCAAAAUGUGUAUGGUGUGCCUUUAAUCGGGUGUGCCAUAUCGCAUGCCCUACUAUUUAUUACCUUGAACAAAUUAGAGUGCUCAAAGCAGGCUUUUAUUGCCUUGAAUAAUCUUGCAUGGAAUAAUGGAAUAAGACCUCGAUCAGUAUAUUUCAUUGGUUUGAAUUGAUCAUGAGGUAAUGAUUAAUAAAAGCAGUUGGGGGCAUUAGUAUUACGACGCGAGAGGUGAAAUUCAUAGACCGUCGUAAGACUAACUGAAGCGAAAGCAUUUGCCAAGGAUGUUUUCC
This 443-nucleotide ribosomal RNA is filed under the name uncultured eukaryote. Its description in RNAcentral is "SSU rRNA". It matches the Rfam family "Eukaryotic small subunit ribosomal RNA", at positions 587 to 972 of the family's 1831-position model. The record is from RNAcentral.